This 773-nucleotide ribosomal RNA is filed under the name uncultured Neocallimastigales. Its description in RNAcentral is "partial large subunit ribosomal RNA". It matches the Rfam family "Eukaryotic large subunit ribosomal RNA", at positions 18 to 616 of the family's 3401-position model. The record is from RNAcentral. Lineage: Eukaryota; Fungi; Neocallimastigomycota; Neocallimastigomycetes; Neocallimastigales.
CAGACGAUGCGUCAUGCAUAUCAAUAAGCGGAGGAAAAGAAACUAACAAGGAUUCCCCUAGUAACGGCGAGUGAAGCGGGAAGAGCUCAAAUUUGAAAUCUUAAAGGGUUUCCCUUUACGAAUUGUAGUUUAAAGAAGUGUUUUCUGUUGAGGUUUUGGUAAAAGUUCUUUGGAAUAGGACAUCAUAGAGGGUGAGAAUCCCGUAUUUGACCUUUACUUUCAACUUUGUGAUACACUUUCAAAGAGUCGGAUUGUUUGGGAAUGCAGUCCAAAAUGGGUGGUAAAUUUCAUCUAAAGCUAAAUAUUGGCGAGAGACCGAUAGCGAACAAGUACCGUGAGGGAAAGAUGAAAAGAACUUUGGAAAGAGAGUUAAACAGUACGUGAAAUUGUCAAAAGGGAAGCGUUUGACACCAGUGUUGUUUUUCUGAAAAUCAAUUAAAGAACUGUUUAUGCUAAGUUGUUUAGACUUUAUCAGCUAACUGUUUAGUUUUGAGCUUUUCUUUAAUGCACUUUUCAGUUAACAAGUCAACAUCAAUUUCUUUUGCUGUAAAAAAGCUUGAGGAAGGUGGCUUGAGAUUCGUCUUAAGUGUUUAUAGCCUCUUGCCUAUGCAGUCGGAGAGAUUGAGGUCUGCAGCGUAGAUCCUUCGGGGCUAAAUGCAUUUGUGCUAAGUUAUAGCAUUUUAUAGACAACUUGUUGACUAUGAUUUGUCUUGUAGCUUACUCGCUUAUGUUAUUUUACCUACGCUUAGGAUGUUGAGCGCAUGUCUCUCUCU